UCACACCACAUGCUCUCCCUUUCUCUCUCUCCUGGCCGUCUGUACUCGCUGCUCUCUCAUUCGCUCCGGCCGGCUCAUCGCUGGCUGUCAGUUCAUUUGCGGCAGCAGAGCAACACUUGGCUUCUUUCAGUGCUCGGAGCGGAGAGGGAGAGGCGAGAGUGGUGGCAAGAGUGGAAGAAGAAAAAGUGGAUGAUCUUUUGUUAAGCAUCCAUUCCUCCCCUCAUCCCUCUCUGGCAGCAGUGUCAUCAGCACCGCUGCCUCCACUGCCGCUCCUGCUGCUGGAUCCUCCGUCUCCUGCCGGGAUCUGCCUCCUCCUUCUCCUCAGGGAGCUCUUCCUGGUGCUGGGAGGGGGAGGGAGAUCACCACCUCCCAGCUUGCAGCGGACCCUCAGCAAGGCAUCAGGAGGAAAGAAGGAAAGAAGGAAGGGGAUGACAUUUUAGGAGAGGCUGACAGGAGAGCAAAGCAGAGGCAACACCCUGGUUUACAGUAGAGCAGAGGAGAGAAGAAGAAAAAAGGGGCCGAGCAGGAGCAGUGAUGGCAACAGUGAAACCAAAUGUCACCGCUGGUUGAGGACUUUCAGAAGGAAGGAGGAGCUAUCCCAGGCCACGGCCCAGAGGAGCCAUUGAUGGAGCCUUGCUUCAUGCUGCAGCGAGGCGUCUUCAAUCAAUGCGACUGCCCCACUUUCACUAUAUAUGUAUGUGUUUGUUUGCCACUGGAGCCUGAAGGGGGGCUGCUGAUGGCGGUGGCGAUGGUGGUGGUGAUGAUGAUGAUGCGAUGGCAAUGGUGCUACUCAUGUGGUUUCUGGCUUAGCUCCCCGCGUUUACUGAAAGACUCUCUUCGGUGACGGGUAUUCUUGGGUGGAUAAUACGGAUCACGUUGUUAUUGCUUAAGAAUACGCGUAGUCGAGGAGAGUCCUCUCUUCGCCCAACACCAGCAACACACCCCCACCCCCGACACCCACCCACCCACGUUCCUCAUCUCACUUCAUCCCGACUACCCACCCACCCACGGAGGACUGUCAGGAUGGGUGAAGCCACACCCCCAAUCUCUACCCUUCCAAAAGAAAUUCCCACUUCUUCUUCGAUCUGUACUGCAUGUUUUUGUCCACUUCCUGUUUGCUGAGCCACGGUCCAAGGUUGAGGGUGUCCUCACGUCUGUCCCACCGUGCAUCUAUCAGUCUGUCUCUGUCUACAUGGCGAUGGACAGCGUAGCGUGUUUGUGUUUUGUUUCUGUUUGUGUGUCUGUUGGACAUGUUGCUUCGAGAUUGUGCGGUCUAACAGAGAAAAACUGUCUCUUUGUUUUGUCGGAUACCAAGUCUGCAUGGACAGUGUCAGUUCCCAUAAUGCAAGGGUGGCAUUGUAGCCUUCACACUCACACAAACAUGUUUAUUUACAAUAAGACAGUCGUACCUACUUUAGGUUUGGUUUACAUUUGGGGUCAGCGCUGUCUUAAACCCCUUAGAUAGUAAUGGCCUGAACUUGUGCUGGGAGUCAACUUUAACAAACUAUAACAUUGUUUGAAAGUGACACAAUAUUAUCUGUCUAAAUCAUAGACCAGUACAUAGCCCUGAGGCUCACUUUAUCUUGACAGAGACCCUCUUCAAGACAGGCUCUGGGGAUUAGGAAAGAGACAUUAUUAUGUCCAUUAAUAUUGUACUGUCAUGGUACAUGUUUUAAAACAAAUCUUCAGGUUAAUUAGCACAAACCAGUCCACACACAGUUAACCUAGAGCUUUGGGGGAAACUACAGAUCUAGGGCUCCAGGGCAGUGGCCUCUUUAUGCUGGUAAUCCAGCCUUGCUGGACAGGUACAGCUACAGGAAAAACAGAAAUAUAUUUUUACCAGGUAAACCCUGUAAAUGCAAUUGAGCAUGACCAGGACUAUUUCUAUUUGACUUCUUGAUAUUAUACUCAAAAGAGUUACCUCUCAGAAUAGAGCAGGAACUUCCUAGGCCCUUUGACUAAUCUCUCGAUUAUUGUUCUUAUACUUAAAUUAAUCAUUUAUUAAAUAAAUAAUCUGAAUAUAGUGAUGCCUGUCACAAUUUCCCAGAGCCUUUGGCAACAUCGUGCAAUUGCUCAUUUUAUCUGAGCAACAGUCUAAAACCCAGUUCACAUAUUAAAUCGGUUGAGUCAAUUGGUUUAGGAAAUGUUACCUAAUAGCAAACCACAGCCCAAUGGGAUGUCUUGUUUUGCAGCAAAUACUCACAAACUAGAACCACUGAAUGUUUGGUAAUUUCGCUGGAUUAAUUACUUGCUUUUUAAAAUUGGUGAAGAUUAAAUUUCUGUGAAUCAACAGAUCGAUUAAUUGACUUGUUGUUACAGUUCCAUGACGAAAAGGUUUUUUGACCAGUAACUAAUUUAACAGUGUGUCAUUUUUGGGCCUGUGCAUGAAAAUGUCGCUAAAUAAAAAAUCGGAUAAAGGUCACUCAGUUUGGUUUUGUCGUUUAGGACCUGGUCUAAAAGCCUGUGCAUCAGACCUCAUAAUGACCAACAUUUCUGCAGGAUAAUACUUAACAUAAAUGAUAUUUUUCCAAAUUUUGCUCAAUCUCUGGCUUAAGAAUUAACAAUAUAUUAGCUACAGCACCUAAAUCCAAGCAUCACUAUCACCUGAUCAAUAUGUGUAGGGCUGUAAUAUCAGCAGACAGUAUUAUAUAUUACCUCUGGCUGUGGUUAUAGAGUGGAACCUCCUCUUAUUCAACUCCAUGUAGUGCAUUUAUUAUGGGGCUGAGCUGAGCCGAGUCGCCUCUUACCUUCCCCCCUUUAGGCCCCUUUUUUAUGCAAAUGACAUUUAUCGCAUUGAGGUUUAUACCACAUGUAA
Molecule: long non-coding RNA, 2815 nt
Organism: Micropterus salmoides (largemouth bass)
Lineage: Eukaryota; Metazoa; Chordata; Actinopteri; Centrarchiformes; Centrarchidae
Exons: 3
Source: RefSeq, a predicted model, not a curated record